This 433-nucleotide unclassified non-coding RNA is filed under the name soil metagenome. RNAcentral's name for it is "partial contains 5.8S ribosomal RNA, internal transcribed spacer 2, and large subunit ribosomal RNA". The stretch from base 1 to 120 matches the Rfam family "5.8S ribosomal RNA", at positions 35 to 154 of the family's 154-position model. The record is from RNAcentral.
GAUGAAGAACGCAGUGAAAUGCGAUACGUAAUGUGAAUUGCAGAAUUCAGUGAAUCAUCGAAUCUUCGAACGCAUAUUGCGCUCUCUGGUAUUCCGGAGAGCAUGCUUGUUUGAGUAUCAGUAAACACCUCAACUUCCAUAUCUUUUUUGAAAUGGGAGUUGGACUUGAGUGAUCCCAACGCUUUUCCUCACCGAAAAGUGGCGGGUUACUUGAAAUGCAGGUGCAGCUGGACUUUUCUCUGAGCUAUAAGCAUAUCUAUUUAGUCUGCCUAAAAAACAGAUUAUUACCUUUGCUGCAGCUAACAUAAAGGAGAUUAGUUCUUGUGCUGACUGAUGCAGGAUUCACAAAGACAGGCUUCGGCCGACUUUGUAAACUCGAUCUCAAAUCAAGUAAGACUACCCGCUGAACUUAAGCAUAUCAAUAAGCGGAGGA